AGAAUCAGUCUUGUGUGAUAACUGCUUACAAGAAAUUCAAAAGAAGUCAACAACAUGAUUAUAUAUUGCAUUUAAUUGUCAGGGAAAGGGAUAAGAAGAAAACACUGCAUGACAAUUUUAUAUUAUUAUCUGACAUUUGUUACAGCCAGAGUGAUCCAAAUGUACUUUCAGCAAUGACAUUUGACCAACAAAGGAAAAGUAAUCACUAAGUCUUAAUUUUAGGUUCAUACCGCAUUCAAAAACCAUAGAAAUAAAACAUAUAUAGGUAAAACAUAAUAUUGCUGGAGAUUUACAAGGACCUGUCUGCAAUU
Molecule: unclassified non-coding RNA, 311 nt
Filed under: Hevea brasiliensis (rubber tree)
Lineage: Eukaryota; Viridiplantae; Streptophyta; Magnoliopsida; Malpighiales; Euphorbiaceae
Source: RNAcentral